AUGUUUUCUUUAAAAAAUGAUGAGUACAUAGGUAUAAUCACGCCUCAUUCCUUCAGAUCCACAUGCUCAUUUGGAAUUUGUGAUAAUUCAGCUCCUACAGAAUUGAUUCCUUUAGGAAGUUGCAUGCUUGCUCAGUCAUGUCCAACUCUUUGUGACCCCAUGGGCUAUAGCCUGUCAGGCUCCUCUGUCCAUGGGAUUCUCCAGGCAAGAAUACUGGAGUGGGUUGCCAUUUCCUUGUCCAAGCAGUGAAUACUGGGCUCCAUGUUUUAAGUCAGAGGGCUUUGGGGAUUUCACUUCUGAGCUGUUUUCACUCCUCGACUGAGUUAGGUGAGACAUAAAAUGUAUGGCAUUUUCAAAGGAAUGUUUCCCCUACCUUUUCCCAGGUAUUCCCUUAAGACUUCGUGGAACUCAUUGUCAUGAGUCUGGGGGUCAGCAGAGCCACUCACUAUUCUUGUUUUUGUUUUAAAUGUUUAACUGAAUUUUAAUGUUUAAAUGUGUUUGUUUUUAAUGUUUAAAUAGUUGAUUUACAAAGUUGUGUUAAUUUCUGCUGUACAGUGAAAUGACUAGUUAUACCCAUAUUUGCAUUUUUUAAAAUAUUCUAUUCCAUUAUGGCUUAUCCUAGGAUAUUGAAUGUAGUUCACUAUGCCCUACAGUAGGGCCUUGUUUAACUAUUCUGUAUGUAAUAGUUUGCAUCUUCUAAUCUCGAACUCACAACCCAUCGCUCUCCCCUGCCUCUGCCCCUUGGCACCUACAAGUCUGUUCUCCGUGUCUGUGAGUCUGUUUCUGUUCACAGAUGAGUUCCUUUGUGUCUUAUUUUAGAUCCCACAUGUGAGUGACAUCGUGUGAUACUUGUCUUUCUCCUUCUGACUGACUUCACUCAGUAUGAUCAUCUCUAGGUCCAUCCGUGUUGGUGCAGAUGGCGUUAUUUCAUUCAUUUCUUAUGGUUGCCACUCACCAUUCUUAAAAUGCGCAUGACGCAAGCACAGGGCAGGCAUCACCUGGCUUUGAAAAGGUCGACAGACUUCACUAGCAAAGAGGGGGUGUCUGCAUUCACCACUCUGUGUGUGUAGGUGUAGCAGGAUGCCGAAAUAGCUCUCUCAGUGGGGAUGUGGGUCAUAUUUAGGCAUUUACCAGGUGGUCUCAGAGAUUAGAAAUAAUAAAAGGAAGUUUGCUGAUGAACUUUAAAAAAAAAAAAAUUGGGGAAAAAACACUCUUUCUAACAGUAGAGGAGAUUUCAGUUAAGCCAUCUUCUUCCAGGGUCCACUGUUGGGUAAUACAACCAACACUUACUUGGUUUGGUAAUUACUGAGCACUUACUGUGGACCAGGAGCUGUUCUACAUCUUUUUUUUUUUUAAACUUUACAAUAUUGUAUUGGUUUUGCCGUAUAUCGAAAUGAAUCCGCCACAGGUUUACAUCUUUAAUGUGCACACUCCCAUUAAAUUUUCAGAACAGCC
This 1455-nucleotide long non-coding RNA is filed under the name Bos grunniens (domestic yak). Its description in RNAcentral is "lncRNA (ENSBGRG00000007142.1)". The record is from RNAcentral. Lineage: Eukaryota; Metazoa; Chordata; Mammalia; Artiodactyla; Bovidae.